This 328-nucleotide ribosomal RNA is filed under the name uncultured eukaryote. Its description in RNAcentral is "partial 18S ribosomal RNA". It matches the Rfam family "Eukaryotic small subunit ribosomal RNA", at positions 1470 to 1796 of the family's 1831-position model. The record is from RNAcentral.
CCCUUAGAUGUCCGGGGCCGCACGCGCGCUACACUGAAGGAAUCAGCGUGGCUUUCUCCCUGACCCGAAAGGGUUGGGAAACCCGUUGAAUCUCCUUCGUGAUAGGGAUUGGGGCUUGAAAUUGUUCCCCAUGAACGAGGAAUUCCCAGUAAGCGCGAGUCAUAAGCUCGCGUUGAUUACGUCCCUGCCCUUUGUACACACCGCCCGUCGCUACUACCGAUUGAAUGGUUCGGUGAAGAUCUCGGACUUCGAUAUUCAUUCUUUAUUGAGUUUAUAUUGUGGGAAGUUAUCUAAACCUCAUCAUUUAGAGGAAGGUGAAGUCGUAACA